ACAACAAAACGAGGUCAGAUUCCAUCCGUCCUGGUCUUACUGUUCUUCUGAUAUAUUUCAUCUAGCUGCGUUUUUUUUUUCCCCUCGAGGAUUCUUUUAUCGGUUCUUUUUAGGUUUUCGAAUUGGCUCGAUCUUUUGAGAACUGAACAAAGGGAAGGAAGUUAGAUUCCCUUUCCUUUUCCAUCUUCUGAUCUUUUUCUGCCGAUCUCUCGCUCC
This 216-nucleotide long non-coding RNA is filed under the name Elaeis guineensis (African oil palm). RNAcentral describes it as "long non-coding RNA (EGUI_LNC011119)". The record is from RNAcentral. Lineage: Eukaryota; Viridiplantae; Streptophyta; Magnoliopsida; Arecales; Arecaceae.